AUUGGAUGAAGGGGGGGGUGUAGGUAUGAUGAAGGAGGGGUCGGUCAUAGCUGGAUGGCUGCUGAUGUAGAACGAGAAAAAUGGAUUCUCUUGGAAGAAUCCAGGCCUUGUACUGCUGCAUGUGUCUUUCUUGUCUUUUGAAUGAAAACUCCAGGUUAGCAGCUGCCUUAGCUACUGAUUUUAAAGGGCCCUCUUUCUCUCCCUGCCAAUCCCUGACCCCAACUCCUUGUGUUUCUCUAAUCAACCCGCCCCUUCAUUUGAAGCCCUAGUGUUAAUAGGGGUUGACUCUGGAACCUCAAGGCUCCUGCUGAAGCAGCUACGUUAAUUUUCAACUUUCACCUAGAGCUGUGUGACUGUAAAAUAGCCACCCACUAGACCUGCUUUAUCAGCUACAGCCGAGACACAAUUAAUUAACUUUAUGCAGCCUCUUGCCACACAAGCUGCUUAACUCCUAGCCCAUUGUAGUUCUGGUUUACUUAGCAGAUAGGGUCUAAGAGCCUGGAACUGUUUACCUCCCUCUGGAGGGGCUGUCCUGGGCAGAUGAAUUCAUUAGUUGGUGUUUGCCUAGCAGCAGGAAACCGAAAAAAAGCAUUAGGGCCUGCUGGAGAAGCCCCCCAAAUCUCAGGACCCCAGCCCCUGGAGCCAGCAAGAGCCUCAGAGCCACUGGGUUCCAGCUCACAGCCCGGCUGUACACAGAAUGAGCCACCUUCCCAGACCAGCCUCAAAAGGACCCACUCCUGGAAACUUUCCUGGCCCGGUGAUAUGGACCCACAUGCUGUCCACGCUCUUCCCCUAUACCCUGGAUGCCUCUCCUCUCUUUCUGUGUGUCAGGUCCGGUGCUAAAUGUCUUGUCUGCAUUAUUUCACUGAAAUCUCACCACAGCCCCAUAACCUGAUGACUAUUAUUAUCCCCAGAGAGAAGGAGAUAACGACUUGCCCGAUGUCACCGAGCAUCAUAGCUGAGGAGCCAGGAAUCUAACAGUUGCAAUAACAGCACUGGUAAACACUGCCCUCUUGGCUUCAGGGAGCACCUCUCUCCAUUCACUCUAUGUACAUUUCGGGUUGGGGGUGAGGAGGCAGGGAGGCUGUGCUCCAGCAUCUAACAGAACACUUGACAUACGGGAGGCCUCCAAAAGGUUUGUUGACCAAAGAGGGCGGCAGGGAGGGCUCUCACUAGCAGACAUUCUUUGUGUGCUUGUGGGUCUCAGACUUCAAGCUACAUCAGGAUCCCCUGUGGGGGAAACUGUUAAAAUACAGGUGUCCCCUCC
Molecule: long non-coding RNA, 1267 nt
Filed under: Bos indicus x Bos taurus (hybrid cattle)
Lineage: Eukaryota; Metazoa; Chordata; Mammalia; Artiodactyla; Bovidae
Description: lncRNA (ENSBIXG00005001551.1)
Source: RNAcentral